UCACACCUCCGUGAGCGGCCUCGGGCUCGCGGUUGAGGCUGAUUGAGGAAGUGGGUUCAGGCGGCCCGCCGUGCCUGGCACACGGUCAGAGUCCCCCCACAGCAACCAGGGAAAUAGUCUAACAGAAGCCUAGGAUGAAGAAUUUCGGGAAAGAAGAAACGUCCAGCAAGGCCAAGUCCCUUUGUGUGUCAGUCUGCUUUCUCUCUCACACAUACGUGCACACAGGCUCGUACACACAAAGAUGUUAAGCAAAAUAUAAAGCCCCUCCACUGAU
RNAcentral lists this long non-coding RNA (274 nucleotides) under Homo sapiens (human). RNAcentral describes it as "HSALNT0291283". Lineage: Eukaryota; Metazoa; Chordata; Mammalia; Primates; Hominidae. The record is from RNAcentral.